UUGGCCCGAAGGGUGAGUCUCAGGAUGAGACGAGUACACCUGCUGCAGGUUCGAGUCGAACGCAGUGAGACAACGGAGCCGCCUGCGGCGGCGACCCGGAGGGCGAGGCGAAGCCGAGUCAUCCUGCACGACCCACCA
RNAcentral lists this small RNA (138 nucleotides) under Kluyvera sp. Nf5. Its description in RNAcentral is "RtT sRNA". It matches the Rfam family "RtT RNA". Rfam says of the family: This family represents a bacterial cis-regulatory element known as RtT RNA. The exact function of RtT is unknown although it is thought that it may be involved in changing the cellular response in relation to amino acid starvation. The record is from RNAcentral. Lineage: Bacteria; Pseudomonadati; Pseudomonadota; Gammaproteobacteria; Enterobacterales; Enterobacteriaceae.